Molecule: non-coding RNA, 96 nt
Filed under: Palleronia salina
Lineage: Bacteria; Pseudomonadati; Pseudomonadota; Alphaproteobacteria; Rhodobacterales; Roseobacteraceae
Description: Maribius salinus TPP sequence
Rfam family: TPP riboswitch aptamer (THI element)
About the family: Vitamin B(1) in its active form thiamin pyrophosphate (TPP) is an essential coenzyme that is synthesised by coupling of pyrimidine and thiazole moieties in bacteria. The previously detected thiamin-regulatory element, thi box was extended, resulting in a new, highly conserved RNA secondary structure, the THI element, which is widely distributed in eubacteria and also occurs in some archaea. Analysis of operon structures identified a large number of new candidate thiamin-regulated genes, mostly transporters, in various prokaryotic organisms.
Source: Rfam by way of RNAcentral
GCCUUGCAACGGGGGCGUCCGCAUCGCGCGGGCUGAGAAGCACCCUUCGAACCUGAACCGGAUCAUGCCGGCGGAGGAAGUUGCGGGGAUGCUUCG